RNAcentral lists this ribosomal RNA (455 nucleotides) under uncultured Anoxybacillus sp. RNAcentral describes it as "bacterial SSU rRNA". It matches the Rfam family "Bacterial small subunit ribosomal RNA", at positions 929 to 1382 of the family's 1533-position model. The record is from RNAcentral. Lineage: Bacteria; Bacillati; Bacillota; Bacilli; Caryophanales; Anoxybacillaceae.
GCGGUGGAGCAUGUGGCUUAAUUCGAAGCAACGCGAAGAACCUUACCAGGUCUUGACAUCCCUGACAACCCGAGAGAUCGGGCGUUCCCCUUCGGGGGGCAGGGUGACAGGUGAUGCAUGGUUGUCGUCAGCUCGUGUCGUGAGAUGUUGGGUUAAGUCCCGGCAACCGAGCGCAACCCUCGACCUUAGUUGCCAGCAUUCAGUUGGGCACUCUAAGGUGACUGCCGGCUAAAAGUCGGAGGAAGGUGGGGAUGACGUCAAAUCAUCAUGCCCCUUAUGACCUGGGCUACACACGUGCUACAAUGGGCGGUACAAAGGGUCGCGAACCCGCGAGGGGGAGCCAAUCCCAAAAAGCCGCUCUCAGUUCGGAUUGCAGGCUGCAACUCGCCUGCAUGAAGCCGGAAUCGCUAGUAAUCGCAGGUCAGCAUACUGCGGUGAAUACGUUCCCGGGCCUU